RNAcentral lists this ribosomal RNA (865 nucleotides) under uncultured bacterium. RNAcentral's name for it is "bacterial SSU rRNA". It matches the Rfam family "Bacterial small subunit ribosomal RNA", at positions 96 to 953 of the family's 1533-position model. The record is from RNAcentral.
CGGCAGACUGGUGAGUAAUGCGCGAGUAAUUUACCUCUAAGUCGGGGAUAGCCUUGCGAAAGCGAGAGUAAUACCCGAUGUGUUUACGGCUACACAAGUAGCUGUAAGUAAAGCAGGCCCGCAAGGGUUUGUGUUUAGAGAUGAGCUCGCGUCCUAUCAGCUAGUUGGUGAGGUAACGGCCCACCAAGGCUUUUGACAGGUAGCUGGCCUGAGAGGGUGGUCAGCCACAUGGGGACUGAGACACUGCCCCAACUCCUACGGGAGGCUGCAGUCGAGGAUAUUUAGCAAUGGACGAAAGUCUGACUAUGUGACGCCGCGUGAGGGAUGAAGGUCUUCGGAUCGUAAACCUCUUUCGAUAGGGAAGAAAACCUAUUCUUAACGGAAUAGACUGACGGUACCUAGAGAAGAAGCCACGGCCAACUCUGUGCCAGCAGCCGCGGUAAUACAGAGGUGGCGAGCGUUACUCGGAUUUAUUGGGUGUAAAGGGCAAGUAGGCGUCUUAGCAAGUUGGAGGUGAAAUCCUGCAGCUCAACUGCAGAACUGCUUCCAAAACUGUUAGGAUUGAGACUGGGAGAGGAAAGCGGAAUUCUCGGUGUAAGAGUGAAAUCUGUAGAUAUCGAGAGGAACACCAGUGGCGAAGGCGGCUUUCUGGUCCAGUACUGACGCUGAAUUGCGAAAGCUGGGGGAGCAAACAGGAUUAGAUACCCUGGUAGUCCUAGCCGUAAACUAUGAGCACUAGGUGUCGGAGGUUACCUUCGGCGCCGUAAGUUAACACGUUAAGUGCUCCACCUGGGGACUACGACCGCAAGGUUAAACUCAAGGAAUUGACGGGGCCCGCACAGCGGUGGAACAUGUGGUUCAUUCG